UGGGGAAAAAAAACAUAGAUGUAGGGGCAUAAUGUAAUUUGUUCCUUCUAAAUUAGUUAAUUUUUUUAGGACUGCAAAAAGUGAACAUCCACAAAAUGUUGUUAUUUUUCUCUUUACUUGUAAAAGUAAAAUUGCAUUUUAAAUAAUAAUGAAACAAAUUUAAAUAGUAUCUGAAUGAAGCACUUUAGCUCUUUCUAGAUUAUGUUGCUUGUGAAUUCAUAAUUAAAAUCGGCUCCACCAUGGCACCUGGUUCCCUCGUCUCCACCGGGCUCCCUCGUCCCUCUGGCUCCUCCUUGGUCAGUCGUCAACCAUCUGCCACCUUGGGACUCCACACCUCUGGCUUUGCCUUGUCACUUCAUCGCUCUGGCUCUGUCAGGCUCUUCCUUCCCGCCUCCAUCCUCAGUCGCUCCACCGCAUUCUUCCGGAGCCCCGCCUUGGCCCUCCGGUUCCUCAGUGUCACCCUGGGUCUCCUUCUGCUCUGCUCCAUCCUGGGCUCCUCAUGCAUCGGCUCAGUCUCCGUCAGUCGGCCCCCUGGUGUUGUCAGCUCCUUCUCCUGCCGUCGACUCCUCCGUGGACCACUAUCCUGGCUGGCCUUUGGAGUUAUAUCUGGCUCCUCCUGUUCUGUAAUAUCUAAGUAGGCUAUAAUGUGAGCACUUCACUGCUAUUACCUUUUUUCCUAAAUAUAAUAUCUAUGUGCAGGUUAAGAGCACCAUCAGCUUGACUCAUCUCAGCCUCUGUCACUGUGUCUUCUCUGUUCUGGCUAUUGACAAACAAAGAUGUGGCUGUCCUGCCCCAGGGUCCUGUACAAUACACACACACCACAAAGCAACAUAUCCUAUGACAGGAGAGGAAGGCUCUGUCUCUGUAGGCAACACAGAAGGUCCAGCCAUGCUGACACUGAGUGAGAGAGACAGACAAAUCUCUAACAGACUGUUCCUGACACAAGAAUUAUUGUUAUACAGCUGUGCUACAACAGAGAAGUGUGCGCAUGCUAAUAGAAGAGCAUUAGACGUAAACAUUUCAUGUAUCACAGUCACUAUUUUUCAUAAAGAGGUUAAAUGCUAAAUUAUAAAUAUAAAAUACAUAUUUAUUCAUAUAGGCUUGAAAGAAACUGAACUCAUUGAAAUAUGAAUUCAGAAAAUGCAUAUUUUAUUAUCAGCUUUCCAAAUUAUUUGACAUUUCUAAUGCUAUUUCCCAUGAUGUUUACAUUAUAUUCCCAUACAAAAAAAGUGUAAAUUAUUUAGUUUUCAAUCUUCCAAUUUUAGACCUACAGUAAUGAAUAUCUGUGCAAUUAUUUUGCUUAUAUAUUUAUUUAUUUUGAAAAAUAAUGCUAGUAGAUAAUCAAUUAAAUCAACUUAAAACUGACAAAUUGAGUGUUUAUCUGAGUGAUACAAGACUUUGUGACUUUUGUUCCACUUGAAUUCGGAACUCAAAAAAAACAAAAAAGAAAAAACAAUAGAUUUAAGGAUUUAUGUGGCUGAAUCUUUUGAAAAAAUUCAAAAAUGCUUCCCUCGCUGGUCACUUUGACCCAACCAUAGGAAUGAAUGAAAUGUUGAAAAAACUGCUUUUUUAAUUUUAUUUUUAUUAUUAUUAUUAUUUUUAAUACAAAAUCUGCCACAAUGCAGUUAUAACACAAUC
This is a long non-coding RNA of Cyprinus carpio (common carp), 1638 nucleotides long. The record is from Ensembl. NCBI's taxonomy places the organism in Eukaryota, Metazoa, Chordata, Actinopteri, Cypriniformes, Cyprinidae.